UUGGAGGGCAAGUCUGGUGCCAGCAGCCGCGGUAAUUCCAGCUCCAAUAGCGUAUAUUAAAGUUGUUGCAGUUAAAAAGCUCGUAGUUGAACUUCGGGGUUUACCCAUUGGUCAGGCUUAAUUGUCUGCACUGGUGAGAUGAAUCUCUACCUUCUGAGGAACUUUCAUGCCAUUUAUUUGGUGUGAUGGGAAAUCAGGACUGUUACUUUGAAAAAAUUAGAGUGUUUAAAGCAGGCUAACGUCUGAAUACAUUAGCAUGGAAUAAUGAAAUAGGACGGACUGAUUCUAUUUCGUUGGUUUCUAGGAUCACCGUAAUGAUUAAUAGGGAUAGUUGGGGGCAUUAGUAUUCAAUUGUCAGAGGUGAAAUUCUUGGAUUUAUUGAAGACUAACUACUGCGAAAGCAUUUGCCAAGGAUGUUUUCAUUAAUCAAGAACGAAAGUUAGGGGAUCGAAGACGAUCAGAUACCGUCGUAGUCUUAACCAUAAACUAUGCCGACUAGGGAUCGGACGAAGUUAAUUUUAUAAUGACGCGUUCGGCGCCUUACGGGAA
RNAcentral lists this ribosomal RNA (549 nucleotides) under uncultured Glomeromycotina. RNAcentral describes it as "SSU rRNA". It matches the Rfam family "Eukaryotic small subunit ribosomal RNA", at positions 548 to 1096 of the family's 1831-position model. Lineage: Eukaryota; Fungi; Glomeromycota. The record is from RNAcentral.